Molecule: unclassified non-coding RNA, 334 nt
Filed under: soil metagenome
Description: partial contains 5.8S ribosomal RNA, internal transcribed spacer 2, and large subunit ribosomal RNA
Rfam family: 5.8S ribosomal RNA (bases 1-120)
Source: RNAcentral
GAUGAAGAACGUAGCGAAAUGCGAUAAGUAAUGUGAAUUGCAGAAUUCAGUGAAUCAUCGAAUCUUUGAACGCACAUUGCGCCCGCCAGUAUUCUGGCGGGCAUGCCUGUCCGAGCGUCAUUUCAACCAUCAAGCCCCAGGCUUGUGUUGGGGACCUGCGUCCGACGCAGGCCCUGAAAACCAGUGGCGGGCUCGCUGUCCACACCGAGCGUAGUAACUAACCUCGCUACGGGAGCGGCGCGGGCGCCUGCCGUAAAACCCCCAAUUUUCACAAGGUUGACCUCGGAUCAGGUAGGAAUACCCGCUGAACUUAAGCAUAUCAAUAAGCGGAGGA